This 25-nucleotide non-coding RNA is filed under the name Rattus norvegicus (Norway rat). The record is from RNAcentral. Lineage: Eukaryota; Metazoa; Chordata; Mammalia; Rodentia; Muridae.
UGAAAAGUUUCGGGUUCUUGAUAAC